Molecule: non-coding RNA, 67 nt
Filed under: unclassified sequences
Description: L31-Actinobacteria ribosomal protein leader
Rfam family: L31-Actinobacteria ribosomal protein leader
Source: RNAcentral
UCGGUCCCGGUUCACGCCGCACACUCCUUUCCGGUCCAUUCGGCCGGGGGGAGGGCGACCCGGGGCC